This 253-nucleotide ribosomal RNA is filed under the name uncultured bacterium. RNAcentral's name for it is "partial 16S ribosomal RNA". It matches the Rfam family "Bacterial small subunit ribosomal RNA", at positions 524 to 776 of the family's 1533-position model. The record is from RNAcentral.
UACAGAGGGGGCGAGCGUUGUUCGGAAUUACUGGGCGUAAAGGGCGCGUAGGCGGCCUCUUAAGUCGAACGUGAAAUCCCCGGGCUCAACCCGGGAACUGCGUCCGAUACUGGGGGGCUUGAAUCCGGGAGAGGGAUGUGGAAUUCCAGGUGUAGCGGUGAAAUGCGCAGAUAUCAGGAGGAACACCGGUGGCGAAGGCGGAUCUCUGGGCCUGUUCUGACGCUGAGGCGCGAAAGCUAGGGGAGCGAACAGG